This 221-nucleotide ribosomal RNA is filed under the name uncultured bacterium. RNAcentral's name for it is "partial 16S ribosomal RNA". It matches the Rfam family "Bacterial small subunit ribosomal RNA", at positions 1277 to 1500 of the family's 1533-position model. The record is from RNAcentral.
UAAACGUCUCAGUUCGGAUUGUAGUCUGCAACUCGACUACAUGAAGCUGGAAUCGCUAGUAAUCGCGGAUCAGAAUGCCGCGGUGAAUACGUUCCCGGGUCUUGUACACACCGCCCGUCACACCAUGGGAGUCGGAAAUGCCCGAAGCCAGUGACCCAACUGAAAGGAGGGAGCUGUCGAAGGCAGGUCUGAUAACUGGGGUGAAGUCGUAACAAGGUAGC